Molecule: long non-coding RNA, 2894 nt
Filed under: Salmo salar (Atlantic salmon)
Lineage: Eukaryota; Metazoa; Chordata; Actinopteri; Salmoniformes; Salmonidae
Description: lncRNA (ENSSSAG00000111245.1)
Source: RNAcentral
CUACCACAAAGGGACGAGUAGGAUCAGGAUGAACGAGGAUGGGUCCGGAGGUGAAACGUCACUUGAGCUCUAUGGUCGCCCUGGCAGCCUCGGGAUUCCAGCAAAAACCUGCUUGAGUGAGGUGGGACAGGGCCAUAUGUGUUCCCGGAAGGGUUUUUGGAGAAGAUCAGGAUGUCGUCGAGGUAAACAAAGACGAACCGAUUCAACAUAUCCCUAAGAGUGUCAUUGAUCAAUGCUUGAAAGACUGCCAGUGAGUUCGAUAUCCUGAAGGUCAUGACUAAAUACUCAAUGACCACUCCCUGUUUCUCAUCAGAUUUUAAGCAUUGCGGAGGUCCAGUUUGGUGAAGAAUUGGGCUCCUAGGGCCAACUCCAAGGCGGCGGACAUCGGGUUUGUUGAACAUGAGUGGAAAUGAAUCUCCAGCACACUGGUAGCACUUUAGAUGUGUGAGUAUAACUUUUCCAGGUGAGUUGAACCUGCCCGUGGGUGCGGUGGGGAUUUUCCUGGGAGGUCUACUGAUGAAGAGGUAUACGCUUGGCGUUGUGUCUGGAGCCCAGCUGUCUUUCGUCACCUCCUUCAUGGCCUACCUCCUCCUCCCGCUGCAGUCUGGCACUAAGUGUGACAACGUUCAGGUGGCUGGUCUGACCGUGUCCUACAAUGGGUAAAAAUGCAUCGGAUUGGUUGGUUGGUGGGUUGAUAAAAACAAAAGGUUUGAUCAGUGAGUUCGAGGGAGAGUUAGACCAAAACACACAUGGGCUUGUGCCAGGGCUCCCUCUUGUGGGAAUACACAGUAUGGUUGUUACUGAGCCAGGAUUCCUGGCUGUUUUGUCACUGUGCCUAUGUCAAUGAUAGUUCAGCAACAAUUAUUUAAACAUCAUUAUUGCCAGCCAUUCUUUCUGUCCCCCAGGUCCCCUGGUGUAAGAUGGCAGCGUGUUGUCAGAGUAUAACAGUGACUGCUCCUGCUUGGCUGGGGAGUGGGACCCUGUGUUUUCAGACAACGGCAUCACCUACACCUCCCCCUGCCUCGCAGUCUGCUCCAGCUUUACAGGAAGCUGGAGCAGGAUACGGCAAGAACAUGGCGCAGCAGCACACUGCCCUCCAAAGCCUGCAAAAAAAAUCGCUGGACUACCCCUUUCCAAGCUCUGCAUGGAACAUCCAGUGUCACAUCCUUGGUGACGUGACGUGUGGGGUGACAUCCGAGAUGACCACAGCAACAACCUGUGGAAAGGGAAAAAAUAGGUACAGAAUGUAAAGAAAUGCAAACCGUAGGUUCUAAACACUGGCCAGCUGAAAGGUUCUACUAAGAUGUCAUGACAAAUGGCACCUGUCAGAGUGCUCUCUAUAAGUGUUACCCACCUGCUUGGAUGUCAGCUGGCAGAGUGGCGAAGACAGCAAUCGUGAGAGUCCUUUCUUCAGGUAUGACGUCCACAACCUCCAAGAGGGAAGAGAUAGGCUCUGCCUCUGUAUUAGGGGUGUUGUCCACAACAUUCAGGUGGAAAGAAGCCGAAUCUGCCUCUCUGAUACGGGUGAUGUUCACAACCUCAAGGUGUGAAGAAGCUGGAUCUGCCUCUGUGUUAGCGGUGAUGUCAACAACCUCCAGGUGGGAAGAAGCCUGGUCUGCCUCUGUUUUAGGGGUGAUGUCCACAACCUCCAGGUGGGAAGAAGCCGGGUCUGCCUCUGUGUUAUGGGUGACAACAACAAUCCUGAUGAGCUCUACUACUACAAGGCACCAAGAUGUCAACACAACAGGCACCUGUAGUGUGGUGGAGACGGCCACCGCGAGGAUAGGGGGGACUGGUAGGGUGGCUGCAGGGGGCUGGAAGCAUCUCUGCACCGCUUCCGCCACAAAGGCGCAGACAGAUCUCAUAUAAAAAGGGCCCUGGAGGUCAUCCGUGGAGAAGGACUGACUAAUUCUCCCGAGGAUCGACUGCACAGAUUCAAAAGCAGCAGCCCGGGAGAAAGGGAUGUGAGGGGAAGGGUCCUUUAACAUGCAGGAAAGCUUCUCCACUUUGGCCGCCACCAUGUCCAUGGCCAUCCCGCUUAUUAGGAAUGGGUGCUCUGAAUGACCUUCCUCUGGCUGAAGCCAGGAGGAGCCUGGGCACCACCUCCACCACCACCUGGGAUGGGCUGAGCAGGUUGCUACGGGGUUCAUUGGACUGCUCGCCCAGAUUGCUCCUCACAGCUCUCUCCACGAUGCUGUGGACCUUAGGGUCACUGAAAUCAACAAAAAGAAGAAGACAAAGCUAAACGAUGUGCAAUGUGCUCACAGAGAACACUUUCUUAGUCUGUUUCUGCAUAGUUCCAGAUGUGUAGAUAAAUGAAUCAAGUCAUAUGCAGGUCAGUACAUGGAACUCACGUAAGCUGGCGAGUUGGUGUGCAUGGAACGGCGGAGUUUGCAGAAAGCCUCGUGCUCUAUGUUCAUCAUUUUUAGGCAAGUGUUUACGUCCCAGGCCUGCCGUAGGAAACAGGAAGUCCCAUUAGUGUAAUUUCACAACAGAUCUAUUCUGCUGUACUAACUAGUUGUUGAAAGGCUAGUAAAGAGCUCACUCUUAUGUCUCUAACUCUCAUUCUCUUGCCAGACGAGCGAGGUCGUUCCCCUCCUCCAGGGUUUCCUUUCACACCCUUCAAAUAAAACACAGAGCAAUUCAACUUUCAUGGCUUCCGAUUGUUCUGUUGUUUAUUUUACCCACACCUCCUGGAGUGUUGCUGGUGGCAGGGAAUGGCAGUGAAGGUGAGUGCUGACGUGGUACUCACCUCUCCCUAAGGGAUUUUUUUGCCCUGAGACACCAGCCAGUCGAUCAUGUGCUCCGUGGUGACAUGGGGCGGGACCUGGCCUUGAUUCUGGAGCAGCAGAUAGUGGACCAUGAGCUUCUUCUGCAAGAUGAGGUAAGGUGUG